This 1451-nucleotide ribosomal RNA is filed under the name uncultured organism. RNAcentral's name for it is "SSU rRNA". It matches the Rfam family "Bacterial small subunit ribosomal RNA". The record is from RNAcentral.
CAGGCCUAACACAUGCAAGUCGAGCGGUAGCACAGAGAGCUUGCUCUCGGGUGACGAGCGGCGGACGGGUGAGUAAUGUCUGGGAAACUGCCUGAUGGAGGGGGAUAACUACUGGAAACGGUAGCUAAUACCGCAUAAUGUCGCAAGACCAAAGUGGGGGACCUUCGGGCCUCAUGCCAUCAGAUGUGCCCAGAUGGGAUUAGCUAGUAGGUGGGGUAACGGCUCACCUAGGCGACGAUCCCUAGCUGGUCUGAGAGGAUGACCAGCCACACUGGAACUGAGACACGGUCCAGACUCCUACGGGAGGCAGCAGUGGGGAAUAUUGCACAAUGGGCGCAAGCCUGAUGCAGCCAUGCCGCGUGUGUGAAGAAGGCCUUCGGGUUGUAAAGCACUUUCAGCGGGGAGGAAGGCGUUAAGGUUAAUAACCUUGGCGAUUGACGUUACCCGCAGAAGAAGCACCGGCUAACUCCGUGCCAGCAGCCGCGGUAAUACGGAGGGUGCAAGCGUUAAUCGGAAUUACUGGGCGUAAAGCGCACGCAGGCGGUCUGUCAAGUCGGAUGUGAAAUCCCCGGGCUCAACCUGGGAACUGCAUUCGAAACUGGCAGGCUAGAGUCUUGUAGAGGGGGGUAGAAUUCCAGGUGUAGCGGUGAAAUGCGUAGAGAUCUGGAGGAAUACCGGUGGCGAAGGCGGCCCCCUGGACAAAGACUGACGCUCAGGUGCGAAAGCGUGGGGAGCAAACAGGAUUAGAUACCCUGGUAGUCCACGCCGUAAACGAUGUCGAUUUGGAGGUUGUGCCCUUGAGGCGUGGCUUCCGGAGCUAACGCGUUAAAUCGACCGCCUGGGGAGUACGGCCGCAAGGUUAAAACUCAAAUGAAUUGACGGGGGCCCGCACAAGCGGUGGAGCAUGUGGUUUAAUUCGAUGCAACGCGAAGAACCUUACCUGGUCUUGACAUCCACAGAACUUAGCAGAGAUGCUUUGGUGCCUUCGGGAACUGUGAGACAGGUGCUGCAUGGCUGUCGUCAGCUCGUGUUGUGAAAUGUUGGGUUAAGUCCCGCAACGAGCACAACCCUUAUCCUUUGUUGCCAGCGGUUAGGCCGGGAACUCAAAGGAGACUGCCAGUGAUAAACUGGAGGAAGGUGGGGAUGACGUCAAGUCAUCAUGGCCCUUACGACCAGGGCUACACACGUGCUACAAUGGCAUAUACAAAGAGAAGCGACCUCGCGAGAGCAAGCGGACCUCAUAAAGUAUGUCGUAGUCCGGAUUGGAGUCUGCAACUCGACUCCAUGAAGUCGGAAUCACUAGUAAUCGUAGAUCAGAAUGCUACGGUGAAUACGUUCCCGGGCCUUGUACACACCGCCCGUCACACCAUGGGAGUGGGUUGCAAAAGAAGUAGGUAGCUUAACCUUCGGGAGGGCGCUUACCACUUUGUGAUUCAUGACUGGGGUGAAGU